Molecule: transfer RNA, 87 nt
Filed under: Chlorobiota bacterium
Lineage: Bacteria; Pseudomonadati; Chlorobiota
Description: tRNA-Ser
Rfam family: tRNA
About the family: Transfer RNA (tRNA) molecules are approximately 80 nucleotides in length. Their secondary structure includes four short double-helical elements and three loops (D, anti-codon, and T loops).
Source: RNAcentral
GGAAAGUUGCCAGAGUGGUCGAAUGGGGCGGUCUCGAAAACCGUUGUUCGCGCAAGCGGACCAAGGGUUCGAAUCCCUUACUUUCCG